UAGCAGCGGGAACAGUACUGCAGUGAAUACUAGUCUGGAGUAUUGUUGCUGCUGCCCUG
This 59-nucleotide microRNA precursor is filed under the name Echinops telfairi (small Madagascar hedgehog). Its description in RNAcentral is "Ete-Mir-15-P2c_pre stem-loop". The record is from RNAcentral. Lineage: Eukaryota; Metazoa; Chordata; Mammalia; Afrosoricida; Tenrecidae.